AUAGAAGCUUGCUUCUAUGACGUUAGCGGCGGACGGGUGAGUAACACGUGGGCAACCUGCCUGUAAGACUGGGAUAACUUCGGGAAACCGAAGCUAAUACCGGAUAGGAUCUUCUCCUUCAUGGGAGAUGAUUGAAAGAUGGUUUCGGCUAUCACUUACAGAUGGGCCCGCGGUGCAUUAGCUAGUUGGUGAGGUAACGGCUCACCAAGGCAACGAUGCAUAGCCGACCUGAGAGGGUGAUCGGCCACACUGGGAUGAGACACGGCCCAGACUCCUACGGGAGGCAGCAGUAGGGAAUCUUCCGCAAUGGACGAAAGUCUGACGGAGCAACGCCGCGUGAGUGAUGAAGGCUUUCGGGUCGUAAAACUCUGUUGUUAGGGAAGAACAAGUACGAGAGUAACUGCUCGUACCUUGACGGUACCUAACCAGAAAGCCACGGCUAACUACGUGCCAGCAGCCGCGGUAAUACGUAGGUGGCAAGCGUUAUCCGGAAUUAUUGGGCGUAAAGCGCGCGCAGGCGGUUUCUUAAGUCUGAUGUGAAAGCCCACGGCUCAACCGUGGAGGGUCAUUGGAAACUGGGGAACUUGAGUGCAGAAGAGAAAAGCGGAAUUCCACGUGUAGCGGUGAAAUGCGUAGAGAUGUGGAGGAACACCAGUGGCGAAGGCGGCUUUUUGGUCUGUAACUGACGCUGAGGCGCGAAAGCGUGGGGAGCAAACAGGAUUAGAUACCCUGGUAGUCCACGCCGUAAACGAUGAGUGCUAAGUGUUAGAGGGUUUCCGCCCUUUAGUGCUGCAGCUAACGCAUUAAGCACUCCGCCUGGGGAGUACGGUCGCAAGACUGAAACUCAAAGGAAUUGACGGGGGCCCGCACAAGCGGUGGAGCAUGUGGUUUAAUUCGAAGCAACGCGAAGAACCUUACCAGGUCUUGACAUCCUCUGACAACUCUAGAGAUAGAGCGUUCCCCUUCGGGGGACAGAGUGACAGGUGGUGCAUGGUUGUCGUCAGCUCGUGUCGUGAGAUGUUGGGUUAAGUCCCGCAACGAGCGCAACCCUUGAUCUUAGUUGCCAGCAUUUAGUUGGGCACUCUAAGGUGACUGCCGGUGACAAACCGGAGGAAGGUGGGGAUGACGUCAAAUCAUCAUGCCCCUUAUGACCUGGGCUACACACGUGCUACAAUGGAUGGUACAAAGGGCUGCAAGACCGCGAGGUCAAGCCAAUCCCAUAAAACCAUUCUCAGUUCGGAUUGUAGGCUGCAACUCGCCUACAUGAAGC
Molecule: ribosomal RNA, 1270 nt
Filed under: Priestia megaterium
Lineage: Bacteria; Bacillati; Bacillota; Bacilli; Caryophanales; Bacillaceae
Description: bacterial SSU rRNA
Rfam family: Bacterial small subunit ribosomal RNA
Source: RNAcentral